This 500-nucleotide ribosomal RNA is filed under the name uncultured bacterium. RNAcentral's name for it is "partial 16S ribosomal RNA". It matches the Rfam family "Bacterial small subunit ribosomal RNA", at positions 29 to 523 of the family's 1533-position model. The record is from RNAcentral.
AUUGAACGCUGGCGGAAUGCUUUACACAUGCAAGUCGAGCGGCAGCGCGGGGGCAACCCUGGCGGCGAGCGGCGAACGGGUGAGUAAUACAUCGGAACGUACCCAAUAGUGGGGGAUAACACAUCGAAAGAUGUGCUAAUACCGCAUACGACCUGAGGGUGAAAGGGGGGGAUCGCAAGACCUCUCGCUGUUGGAGCGGCCGAUGUUCGAUUAGCUAGUUGGUGGGGUAAAGGCCUACCAAGGCGACGAUCGAUAGCUGGUCUGAGAGGAUGAUCAGCCAGACUGGGACUGAGACACGGCCCAGACUCCUACGGGAGGCAGCAGUGGGGAAUGUUGGACAAUGGGGGCAACCCGGAUCCAGCCAUUCCGCGUGAGUGAAGAAGGCCUUCGGGUUGUAAAGCUCUUUCGGCAGGAACGAAACGGUUGUCCCUAAUACGGAUGGCUAAUGACGGUACCUGAAGAAGAAGCACCGGCUAACUACGUGCCAGCCGCCGCGGUAA